Molecule: ribosomal RNA, 253 nt
Filed under: uncultured bacterium
Lineage: Bacteria
Description: partial 16S ribosomal RNA
Rfam family: Bacterial small subunit ribosomal RNA
Source: RNAcentral
UACGGAGGGUGCAAGCGUUGUUCGGGUUUACUGGGCGUAAAGGGCGCGUAGGCGGCUUGGUAAGUCGGGUGUGAAAUCCUUCCGCUUAACGGAAGAAGUGCACCCGAAACUGCCUUGCUCGAGUUUAGGAGAGGAGAGCGGAAUUCCCGGUGUAGAGGUGAAAUUCGUAGAUAUCGGGAGGAACACCCGUGGCGAAAGCGACUCUCUGGCCUAAUACUGACGCUGAGGCGCGAAAGCGUGGGGAGCAAACCGG